CAUCUGACUUAUGUGAGAAGGUUGAAGAAGGAGCAACGGUAACUAGGUGGGAUCUUCCGAUCUGCAGGGAGCUAUGGCAGUGGCGAGUCGAAAGGGGGUGGACAAUGAUGCUGUUGGCCAAGGUUAGGGGAGCUGAAAGGAUAGGGAUGCCAUAGCCUCCAAUGCCUCUAGGGGGAUUAGCUUGGUUAGGGCUGCGAAGGUGGGGUCUGAUUGACUAGUCUGACAAGGAAUCAGGUAUGGGGGACAGAGGGGAGAUAGACUUUUACCCCUC
Molecule: long non-coding RNA, 271 nt
Filed under: Elaeis guineensis (African oil palm)
Lineage: Eukaryota; Viridiplantae; Streptophyta; Magnoliopsida; Arecales; Arecaceae
Description: long non-coding RNA (EGUI_LNC030326)
Source: RNAcentral